GGGCUCGUAGCUCAGCGGUAGAGCGCUCGCUUUGCAAGCGAGAGGUCUCGGGUUCGAUUCCCGACGAGUCCA
RNAcentral lists this transfer RNA (72 nucleotides) under Candidatus Woesearchaeota archaeon. Its description in RNAcentral is "tRNA-Ala". It matches the Rfam family "tRNA". From Rfam's summary of the family: Transfer RNA (tRNA) molecules are approximately 80 nucleotides in length. Lineage: Archaea; Nanobdellati; Candidatus Woesearchaeota. The record is from RNAcentral.